CUAGAGGGAAGUUCUCCACACUCUGCUUGAAAACACUGAAAUGUCCUCAUUUAGAGAUACAUUGAUUCAAUGCAUCUUUAACAAGAGAUGCUGAUUGGACAGGGCUAUGUUUGGCUUGUGCUGGCUCUGCCCCUAUUCUGCCUCCUUGGCAGUCUCAGCCAAUACAAUACUGUCCCUAUAGGAAAGUAUUGUGAAUGUCUGAUCCACACAAUUAUUUCAGGCAAGUAGGCAGAUCAGUGAGAAAGGCAACAGCAGCAGACUAGAUAAAGGUAGGAAGGAGUUAGAAUCCGGGAUAGGCAACCUUCGGCACUCCAGCUGUGGACUACACCCCCCAUAAUGCUGGCAAAG
Molecule: non-coding RNA, 348 nt
Organism: Pelobates cultripes (western spadefoot toad)
Lineage: Eukaryota; Metazoa; Chordata; Amphibia; Anura; Pelobatidae
Source: the annotation of a GenBank genome assembly